Molecule: ribosomal RNA, 279 nt
Filed under: uncultured bacterium
Lineage: Bacteria
Description: partial 16S ribosomal RNA
Rfam family: Bacterial small subunit ribosomal RNA
Source: RNAcentral
UGCCAGCAGCCGCGGUAAGACGGAGGGUGCAAGCGUUACUCGGAAUCACUGGGCGUAAAGGGUGCGUAGGCGGCGUGUUAAGUUGGAUGUGAAAUCCCUCAGCUCAACUGAGGAACUGCGUCCAAGACUGGCAUGCUAGAGGUCGGUAGGGGACAGUGGAACUCCAGGUGGAGCGGUGAAAUGCGUAGAGAUCUGGAGGAACGCCGGUGGCGAAAGCGACUGUCUGGGCCGUACCUGACGCUGAGGCACGAAAGCCAGGGGAGCGAACGGGAUUAGAUA